Juglans microcarpa x Juglans regia is the source of this 215-nucleotide small nucleolar RNA. RefSeq annotates it as small nucleolar RNA U3. The record is from RefSeq and is a predicted model, not a curated record. NCBI's taxonomy places the organism in Eukaryota, Viridiplantae, Streptophyta, Magnoliopsida, Fagales, Juglandaceae. The transcript has a single exon.
ACGACCUUACUUGAACAGGAUCUUUUCUAUAGGUUGUACAUCUGUUUCCUUGAGUUCUAAGGAGACAAGGAAUCCAAGUCUGGUUGAUGAGCCAUGACCGUGCGAUCAGAGCGUGAAUAACAGAUUCGCGGUCCUCAGACCGUUGGAUCAGUAGAGGAUCGUUCUCAGCUACUCUUCCGAAUAGCUGCGAUGGUCGCACGGUUGUCUGACAGACU